This 25-nucleotide non-coding RNA is filed under the name Mus musculus (house mouse). The record is from RNAcentral. Lineage: Eukaryota; Metazoa; Chordata; Mammalia; Rodentia; Muridae.
UGCCAUUAAGAGGAACAAUCCGAUC